CCAACAAUCAAGGUUUGAAGUGAAGAGGAAGCUUUGUUGGAAAGCUUGUGGUGUUAACCCAGGCCCUGGCUUACUUCUUGCAACCAGAAUUUAAGGAUGGCAGUGGAAGACUUCAAGCUGCAAGUAAAAACAGAAAGAAACAUGGGUAAAACUUCUCAUGAAGCUCUGAAGGCCAAGCUGUAGCCUGCAUCGCUGUAUCUUGCUCAUUGCUGUGCAAUAUUCCCCUGGAGAGGGUCCAAACAGAAGCAGCAGGGGAGCUGUGAUGUGGCCUGGUGGAACAGCAUCCCGCCCACCGCUUCACGCCUGGAGGCACAGAGGAGGUAGGACAGGGGGAGAUCUUCUGCUGAGAUGGGCCCAUGCACUGCAAUGCUGAUGGGCAUGAAGGCAGACUCAUAGAGUCUGGGUGAGUAUUUAAGGGCAAUUUUUUUGAUUAAGUUCGUCACAUGGUCUUUGAUUAAGCUAGAAGUAGGAGGACUAAAGUGAAUAUUUGAAGGCUGGAAAAAAAUCACCUGCAAGAAAAGUUUCUGGGUGUGAUGUGACUUAUCUUUUCCUGUUUCUCACUGUUAUUCAGUGAGAAGAUGGUUUUGUAAUUGCAGUUAUUAUCUUUAGGUGAUAAACUUAGUUCUGGUGACAAGAUAAAUAAUGUUGUAAGCAAGACCUCAUUUUCCUGUUACUAGUUUCUUUGGUUAAGUAACUUAUGCUAGUUAUCGAGGAAAGCAAGACCUCAUUUUCCUGUUACUAGUUUCUUUGGUUAAAUAACUUACGUUAGUUAUGGAGGAAAGCAAGGUACAAUGGAAAUAUACCUUGUCCUCUUAUUCAGCCUUUCAGUAAUAUUGUAAGGUAAGUAAGUCCACGUAAGGACUUAAGGUUUUGACAUUAUGUACAAUGAUACUGCAAAAAACUUACGCUGUUUUGACAGAGAUAACUUUACAAUGCUAGCUGCAGUCUUAAAAAAGCCCAAAACAACAAAACAACAAAACUGUAUGCUUUCUCUUUCUUCAUCCUGAACAGAUUUUUUCAGGAAAAAUUACUUCUGCAAAAUGUUGCCUCUUAAAUUUGUAAUUAUAGUUCCCUUGAAAUUUCAAAGCCUGGAAUUAUUUAGGGCACAGAUACCCUGGUUCAUUCGCUGUGAGCAAGGCUAAGAACAGCUCUGCGCAUUGGUCUGCUCCAAGUGACAGUUGCAGUGUAAAUGUGUCCAUCCACACUCAUGCCUCCAGAUCUCUAGAGAAUCUUUCUGAAAAGAGAUGAAUGGAUGAACCAGAAUUUAAUGGCAAAAAAGGUUGUAUCCUUGUGGGUGACUGGGGUGAUGUCAGUGGUUAGAAACUCAGAUCUAGCUCACGCUUCACUGCACAUUUUGGAUUGGGGUGAAUGGCUGAACACUGCUGAGGUGUUCCUUCCUCCCAUUCUGGAAACACACUUGUUUGGGGGAUUUCUGAGACCUAUGCUUUCAAAAUUCACAGAAAAUAUGACAAAACCUGAAAAAAAACCCCAGCAGAUUCAGCCAAGACUGUGUUUAUAGAAGCAGCAGACAAAGAGAUUUCAAGAGGUUUUGCCAUAUACCCUAAAGACUCUGGGCUGCAUUUUGUGUGGUAUGGAGGGAUCUGAUGGAGGCUGCGUUGAGCUUGGGGUGAAAAUAGGAUUCAAUGAGCUGACUUUCCUAGUUUUCCAUACUGCUCUGAGCCCAAGGGGAGUGCACUGGCUCUUGCACUCAGGGAUUACCCAGGAUAUUGCUGGACAAGGAUGGAUGCCCUGACCUGCCUGAGAACCCUGCCAGGAAAUGCCUCAGCUUACAAACAUGGGGACUUCAGGGUAAAGUGUCAGUGCUGGUGUUUGCUGGCAUACAAAAUGCAUGGAAAUGAGGAAAGAAAUGGAAAUCCUGCCGAAGGUGAGAUGGCCAGGUGCCAGCUGCACAGAGGUGUGCUGCGCUGUCUCAGCACCACCACACUGCCCAAGCACCUGGACACUGGUGUGAACCCCUGGCUGGUUCACCCAGAUUCUGCCCAGCAGUCUGCCCUGAGAGUCAGCAGGUGCUGUUCUUCUUGGUAACUAACUCUUUUUAUGCAGGCAGUAUGGUAAUCUCCUGUGGUCACAAGUGGGAAACCCCCUCUUUGCACACCACCUUGUAAAAGCACCACUCAGACUCUCCCCAGACAGAGCCUUCAAAGGGAAAAAUUCCUCUUCAGACCUGUCAGGCAUGUAUCUGCUGAAGAAAAAUGUUCCUGACGUGUCCUCAGUCCUUCAAGCUGCAACCUAAAGUCCUUGGAGCUGAGAAUGACAGGGAAAUCCAAAAGGAUGUUUCUCCUGAGUUAAAGUCUUAACAGACUUCCCUUGGAUUAUGUCCAAAGCCAGCUCCAGCACCAGCCCACCAAUGAGGGGGCCAGGGUGUGUUUCUUUCCCAGAGAAAGAAAUAACCCCUGUAGAAGAAGGAUUUUUCAUUUCUCCUCUGGGGACGGGCUAUGCUAUGCUCUGUCUAGGGGAGCUGCCAGAGAUCUCACCUGCUCUGUGGCAGCACCACGCCUGGGAUCCCACCAGGAAGGACUGCUGAUGGAACUAAUGACAUUUGAACACAGCCCAAAUCUGGGCAGAGCUGGCUUGCAAGAGGCUUGGUGGUGGACAAGGGGAACCUAGCAACCUGCCUCAGGGUUCAGCAAGCGUAGACAAGUGUCAGUGUGGUCAUGCUGACUUCUAGUCACCAUGGAGCACCCGACAGCAUAGAAGCUAAUGUUAGUUGGUCUACUGUAAAUUUGUCAUUUUUCAUUUCUUUUAGUUAGAAAAAUAAAAAUACCUCAUUUCUUCAUGAGCUUUUUUUCCUCCUGCAUAUAAGCUAAUCCAAGAGCUAUUUAAUUCUCACUUACAUGGCAGUUUUUCUUCUGAUAGCAAAUAUACUUUAAGUUCUUUUACUUGUGUUCCUAUUAAAUAUUAGUACAAAUAUAUUAAUUACUUUUUCUUUUCUAAAUUAAUGCUGUCUUUUUGAAAAUUAUCAGUGACCUGGUGGAGGAAUCAAACAUCACACCAUUUUCUCAUAUUUACUGUGUUUGCAGUUUGUUUAGCCCUUGUACAACACAGCAACUGUAUAGAAUUAAAAAUAAAGAGCAUCACAUUUUCCAGACUGAGGGACCAAAAGGUCCUUCUGUCAGCUGUGCUGGAGCAGCUCAUUAGCCAGAGCACAGCAGUGGAGUUGCGUGGAAGGUGCAGACAUGUAGGAGUAGGGAACUUUUUGCAUUGCCACAUAAUGCCAAAACUUGGUGGUUGAACCCUAACCCAGCACCCUGUGUGUCAUCCACUUGUUCUUUUGACAUCUGACUUGUUUACAGCAUGAACACGUCUCUCCCACAUACAGGGAUUGAAACUCCCUGAAGUCUAACUUCAGAUGCCAGGAGAUAGGGUAGUUUACACCUUUUCCACAGAGGUAGGUAAAAAAUUUUACCUAGUAUAAAAGUUCUUCAAGGGUUUGACUUUGCUUAUUUUUCUUGUGGAUUAGAUAGGUACACUAGGGGCUACUAAAGGUUAAUGACACUGGAGAGCCUUUAUACUGUAGGACAUCUCCCUAGGUCAAUUUUUGUCUGAAGUCAAAAUUUCUUGCAGCUUGGAACUGAAGGUCAAUGGACUGAGUAAAAUGAUUAGAUUUUCUUAGGAAUUCUGCUUUAUCAGAACAUGAACAUUAGUACAAGGAUGACUUUAGGAACAUUUUGUGUAUCUUCCCAAGUCUGAAUUGCACCCACAUUGAAGAAAAUCUAAAACCAAUAAGGGAUUUUUUAGAAUCCAAUUAAUCUCAGUCAUUAUCCUUUGGAGAUAAUAAAAUUCUAAGCAUAGAGGGAGAAAAUAGUCAGCAAACAUCUUGGUUCUGUAUCUAACAUUUACCUUAAAUAAUAAUGUAAUGGAAAUUAUUGUUAAUAUGUGGUACAAGUAAAUAGGAUCACUUCUUCUUGAAUGCAGCUUACAUCCACGAGUCCUACAAGAGUUGCUUAAGAAGAAGGAAAACAGCCACUGUCAUUCUAUGUUAAUUAUUAGAAAAAUAAAUCUUCUUUAAUAAAUCUGAUCCAGUGCUUUGCUGAUGUCAAUUUCUAGCCUGGUUGAUGAAAGCAAAUACAUAGAAUUUUGUGAGGUAUUUGUUUUGGUAUUGUAGAAUAUUUGGACAGGAAAAUCUAGCAACUCUUGCGGGCAAAAAACCCCAUGCCCAUUAAACUGAUAACUGAUGCCCUGGUGUAAUUACUAAUAUGUUGGCAAUAAGAAAUCUUUACCACAUGACUUCUCUAGUUAUUUUCUGCAGAGAUCAGUGCCAGAUUUGAUCUCAUUCUACUUUUUUGUCUCUGUCCAGGAAGAAAAUACUAAGUCAUAACUUAAUAUUUUUUUGUACAAACCAAAGAUGCCAAGAAAAUGGGAAAACUAAAUAUGGAGGAGGAAGAGGAGUCAGACAGCGUAAAAUAGAUAAUUAGCAACUAGUCAGCUGAAACAAAUGCACUUUGAUACAGGAAACUACAAAGUGGGGUAUUACAUCCUGAGAGCAACAAAGAGAAUAGGGGGCACAGUGAGCAAAUAGCACAAUAUGAGCUCACAGUUUUACAGGGGUAAAACUGUUUACGGAUGUCUUGGCAAGCUAACAGAAAAGGUUUCUCUUGCCCUUGUAUUUCUCAUUGCUGAGGUUUUGUUUCUUUCCAUGCUUAGAAUUUAGUAAUUCUAAAACUUUUCAUUUGUUCUUCUCAGAUCUCACUGAAAUCACAAUUUUAUCUUUAUUAUGAAUAUUUUUCCACUACGAAGAGGGUGUUUAUCCCUUGAUUAUGUCAGUAAGUCAAUACAGAAAUAGAUAAAAGCUAGCUAGAUGAACUUCUCACUUCACUUCCUUGUUCAUGCCACAGUGGUUUGUUCUCAUCUCCCUUGAUAACCUCAGAGUAAACAAGUGGGUCAUCUAUUUGCCCCAGUUUGUAACAUUAAUCACUGUGCAAGCCUUGGUACACAAAUUCCCUGGUACAUCUCAACUGCAUUAUGAUUCAAAGAAGCUAAACACUUAUCUGCAACCAGCUGCAAGUGGUGUACAGAAAACUGAAACUCAGUACUUUUCCUUGUUGUUUGAAAAAAUUUCAGAUUUUUGUUUUGUCAGAAAAGAAACUGAUAAUGGAGCCAGGUAGACCUUCGAUGCAAUUUCAUUGGCUACAAAGGAAACCCUAUUUUCUUGAAUGCAUUAUUAAUGCCUGUAAAGGAUAUAUUGGUUUUGGCAAUUGCCUUGCCAUUAACGCUUGUUCCAAACAGCCCUGUCCUGAUACAUCCAUCUCCUUUUGGUCUGAUUUGCUACACUGAGAACAUGUUGGCCCUGAACCUGGAAUUUUUUUAAGAAUUCAAAUACAUUUCUAGAACACUGUUAAAAUAACCAAGGAAAUGGUAAGGAAGCAACGGUAAUGAAUGGUAAUUCAUUAGUAUUUAGAUGUUGUUCAAUGCAGAGACUUGCAUGUGGUUUCACAUGCUCCCUUUGGGCAAGUUUAAUUUUGAUUCCUCUAUAUCCCAUGGAGUACCUGAAAGAAAACAUGACAAAGUGACUUCAGAAAAAUGGAAAUGUCUCCAAAAGUGAGACUCAGUUGAUCCCAAAACUAUGGGAUUGUUAGUGUGCAGUGAGUACGUUCUCAACACACAUAGAAAUAAUUAUUGUUAUUUACAUAUCAGAUCUUUCACCUCAGAAUGUCAAUGCAUGUUGUAAUCAUCAAUUAAUUUAAUCUCAGAACUACUGAGGAGAGCUAAGUGAGUGCUACAUCCCCAAUUUUAUUCAGAACAAAUAAAUAAAUGGAAGAAGUGAGAGGUUCAUUUCCCAGAAAUGCAAGGCAUUUAAAUGCCUAACACCCAUUGAUUUCAGGAAGCACUCGUUGCCAUAAAUUUUGAGUGACUCUGUCGUUUGCCCAGCAUCAAACUGAUUAGUCAGGAAGCUAUGCAGAAACAGGCAACCUGUGUAUUGCCCUGAUUUCCUAACUUUCUCCAAGAGGAAACAUCUCCUUAGAAAUGGGUUGUGAGAUUCAGCUCAUCAAAUGUGUCCCCUUUAGAGUGUAAACAUCUGCAUCUGGACUAAUCAUCUGGACAUUCCUUGUAGUCAAGGAAGGCUAAGACAACAGAGAUGAAUCCCACCCCGUGUGUCUGCACCGCAAAAGCGGAAUACCAAAACACAGCCUACACCAGCUGUGGUCAUCCACUUACCCUUGAUAUCCAGAGAUUCACUGGAAAAAGUUACAAAACAAAUCCAGGGGAUUUCCACACAGUCCUUGAUGUUAUCUUUAAUGUUCUAAUUCAGUUUCAGAAUAAAGCACUCAUUUAUACUUUUUCUUGUGUCUACUUGCCUCUGCUUCAACCAACUCAAAACAAAGAGAUUUUAAACAUUUACUGGCUCCACAUGCCUAUAAACUUAGCAUUUUCUCAUUUUUAUGAUAUCUCUGAUGUCUUGUGA
Corvus hawaiiensis (hawaiian crow) is the source of this 6424-nucleotide long non-coding RNA. RefSeq lists it as uncharacterized. The record is from RefSeq and is a predicted model, not a curated record. The transcript has 3 exons. NCBI's taxonomy places the organism in Eukaryota, Metazoa, Chordata, Aves, Passeriformes, Corvidae.